Molecule: ribosomal RNA, 251 nt
Filed under: uncultured bacterium
Lineage: Bacteria
Description: partial 16S ribosomal RNA
Rfam family: Bacterial small subunit ribosomal RNA
Source: RNAcentral
GAUCAUGGCUCAGGACGAACGCUGGCGGCGUGCCUAACACAUGCAAGUCGAACGGAAGUUAGAGCUUCGGUUUUAACUUUAGUGGCGAACGGGUGAGUAACGCGUGAGGAACCUGCCUUUCAGUGGGGGGACAACAGUUGGAAACGACUGCUAAUACCGCAUGAUACUUUUGGGAGACAUCUCCUGGAAGCCAAAGCUUUAUGUGCUGAAGGAUGGCCUCGCGUCUGAUUAGCUAGUUGGUGAGGUAACGG